GACGAACGCUGGCGGCGUGCCUAAUACAUGCAAGUCGAACGCUGAAGGAGGAGCUUGCUUCUCUGGAUGAGUUGCGAACGGGUGAGUAACGCGUAGGUAACCUACCUGGUAGCGGGGGAUAACUAUUGGAAACGAUAGCUAAUACCGCAUAAGAGUAGAUGUCGCAUGACAUUUGCUUAAAAGGUGCAAUUGCAUCACUACCAGAUGGACCUACGUUGUAUUAGCUAGUUGGUGAGGUAACGCCUCACCAAGGCAACGAUACAUAGCCGACCUGCGAGGGUGAUCGGCCACACUGGGACUGAGACACGGCCCAGACUCCUACGGGAGGCAGCAGUAGGGAAUCUUCGGCAAUGGACGGAAGUCUGACCGAGCAACGCCGCGGGAGUGAAGAAGGUUUUCGGAUCGUAAAGCUCUGUUGUAAGAGAAGAACGAGUGUGAGAGUGGAAAGUUCACACUGUGACGGUAUCUUACCAGAAAGGGACGGCUAACUACGUG
Molecule: ribosomal RNA, 495 nt
Filed under: uncultured bacterium
Lineage: Bacteria
Description: partial 16S ribosomal RNA
Rfam family: Bacterial small subunit ribosomal RNA
Source: RNAcentral